RNAcentral lists this transfer RNA (74 nucleotides) under bacterium. RNAcentral's name for it is "tRNA-Gly". It matches the Rfam family "tRNA". Rfam says of the family: Transfer RNA (tRNA) molecules are approximately 80 nucleotides in length. Their secondary structure includes four short double-helical elements and three loops (D, anti-codon, and T loops). The record is from RNAcentral.
GCGGGAUUUGUACAGUGGCAGUACAUUUGCUUCCCAAGCAAAAGACGCGAGUUCGAUUCUCGUAUCCCGCUCCA